AGCACUUAUAUCUGAAAGGAGGAAGGAAAGGAGUGCUAGUGGCUCCCUCUAAUGCAGCUCUCCCAUAUCCAGUUCCAAGUGAACAGAACCUCUCCUGAGACCACAUCCCUCACUUCUGCCAUGUCAUGCCCAAGUCUGCAGUGAAUGGGUGGUGUCGAUAAAUGGCAUGGACUUCCACACUCAAACAUCCUCAGAGUGGCUAGUGGUAUCAGCAGAGUUCAUUUGAACAAUGAAACCCACAAGAAGUUACAGGAAACAGAUGGGAGGAAAAUAUGAAGAGGCAGGAGAUCAGAAGAGGGCAUGGUGAGUCCGUAGUAGACUGAGAGGAAAAUGGACUGGGGACAAGGGCCUGGGUGCCAUGGGGCUGUGCUAUCUAGUCUUAUAAUAAGUGUUG
This is a long non-coding RNA of Mauremys mutica (yellowpond turtle), 394 nucleotides long. RefSeq lists it as uncharacterized. The transcript is spliced from 4 exons. NCBI's taxonomy places the organism in Eukaryota, Metazoa, Chordata, Testudines, Geoemydidae. The record is from RefSeq and is a predicted model, not a curated record.